RNAcentral lists this ribosomal RNA (256 nucleotides) under uncultured bacterium. RNAcentral's name for it is "partial 16S ribosomal RNA". It matches the Rfam family "Bacterial small subunit ribosomal RNA", at positions 524 to 776 of the family's 1533-position model. The record is from RNAcentral.
UACGAGGGGGCGAGCGUUGUUCGGAAUUAUUGGGACGUAAAGGGUGCGUAGGCGGUUUGGUAAGUCUGAUGAUGAAAUCUAUGGGCUCAACUCAUAGUCUGCAUCGGAAACUGCCGGGCUUGAGUGUGGGAGAGGUGAGUGGAAUUCCUGGUGUAGCGGUGAAAAUGCGUAGAUAUCAGGAGGAACACCUGUGGCGAAAGCGGCUCACUGGACCAUAACUGACGCUGAUGCACGAAAAGCUAGGGGAGCAAACAGG